Molecule: long non-coding RNA, 6577 nt
Filed under: Lactuca sativa (garden lettuce)
Lineage: Eukaryota; Viridiplantae; Streptophyta; Magnoliopsida; Asterales; Asteraceae
Description: long non-coding RNA (LSAT_LNC009688)
Source: RNAcentral
GGCCCCGCCGCUCCAGGCCCCGCCUGGCUUCGAGCCCCGCUCGGAUACAGAUCUGUUUCACGUAGGCCUCGCCUGUCACAGGGCCUCGCCCACUAACAUAUAAUAGCACAUAAACAUCUCACAUAAGCUAAACACAUACUAACGGAUCUUGUCCUAAGGCCUCGCCUAUCUCUGGGCCCCGCCCCUGACCUGCUACUGAUGAGUCACGGAACCCCGUCCAUGCUCCUACUGGUAGUGAGAUACGGGCCCAGCCCACGCUCACUCCCUUCCUGACUGGGGCCUCGCCCCUGCUCUGCUGCUACUGAGAUGUGGAACACCAUCCACACUCUGCUAUUGGUGAGAUACGGGACCUCGCCCACACUCACCUCCCUACCAGGCACAUACAAGUAUCACACAGACAACAAGUAUAAACUAUCACAUAAACCAUUCCUUGGGCACCCGCCCUCUAUCAUUGGACCUCGUCCCGAAUAUCAUACUAGCAUACUGGGCCUAGGGCUAACCCCUGGGUCUUCUACUCAUAACUACAUGGGCCGGCAUUGUGGCCGUAGACCCAUUCAUACAAAGGGAAACUCACCUGAUACUGCUGAACUGCUGCUGCUAAUUCCUUUGACCGCUACCUGACCACUGACUCCGGACUGCUGCUCCACUAGCUCCCCGAGUUACCAAUAUCAACAUAACACUUAGUCUAACUGACCUUCAAAGGUCAACUAAGUCAACUCUUGUCAAAGUCAAAGUCCUGGUCAAAGUCAACCUUCCAGGUCAACCCUACUCGCCGAGUCCACUUACUGACUCGCCGAGUUCUUAUGCUCAAAGUCCUUCCAAUCGCGACUUGACUCGCCGAGUCUACAGAUUCCCGAAUCCUGUCCUGACCAACUCACUGAGUCCUUGCUCGACUCGCUGACUCGAGUCUUAACUCGAAGGGUUUGGGGCUACGCGACCUGACUCGCCGAGUCUAAGAACAGACUCGCCGAGCACACGACAAUCUUCAUCCAACUCGCCGAGUUGUUCAUCCAACUCGCCGAGUUCAUGCCUAUCUUCAUCCGACUCGACGAGCUGUUCAUCCCACUCGUCGAGUUCCUCCUCAUCUUCAAGCUACUCGCCGAGUCCACUCGAAGGACUCGCCGAGUCCAUUCAGAUCUACAUACAUGCAGAGGACUUUCGAGUCAUGCAUGGACUCCAAACUGUAGAUCUACCCUUCCCAAGCCUAUCCCCCACGUAAAGUUGCAAACUUUACGUGUAGAGAGGGAGAUCUAGGCAAAAAGCACCAUAAACUAGGGUUUAAGGCCAAGGGGCUUCAAAAUCGACUCAAGGGCUGAUACUUUAUGCUUCUCCAGUCCAUAACACACUUGGAUCUGAAGUAGCAACUCCAGAUCCGGCUCCUAACUCAAAAUAAUAUCAUUAUGGCUAAAGAGCCCCAACAACCACACAUAAAUCUAGAUGCAAAAAGGGUCCAGGAACUAGUUUAUACCUCCAAAAGCUCAGAAAUGUCUUCCCAAUCCCGGAUCUACAGCCCCCUUCUUGCACUCUCAAGAUUCUUCUUCUUCCUCCAAGCUAAAUGCACUCUUGAAGGCAAUAAAUGGUUCAAAUAGAGGAUAUGGCGGCUAGGGUUUGAUAUCCAGGGCUUAAGAGGCAGUAAGGAGCCCUAGGAAGAAGAUUAAGACGUUUAUAUAGGCUCCAAGUCCCGAAUUUAGGGUUUUCCACGCACAGACCAGACUCGCCGAGUCACCUUGGCCGACUCGCCGAGUCGGUCACUUACUCCUCGACCCGGAUCCCGCUCGGACUCGCCGAGUUCCUCCUCGGACUCGCCGAGUCGCCCCUUAACAUUAAGGUUUUCUUUCCUUUCUUGGCCUUCAAAACUUUGGGUGUUACAACUCUCCCCCACUUAAACUAAACUUCGUCCUCGAAGUUUGCUAUGGCCCACCGCCUGCGAUCUGCCUGCAAUACCCAACCAAUUAUUCCAACACUAGCUGCCUUCCUUCGCUGGCCUACCGCCCGAUCAUUCUGACUAGCAUCAAACCUUGCAGAUAUUCAUCUUGGGUCAACCCUGACCCUGAACAUUCUGGAAACACGACUUACUCAACCGAUAAUCCGCCUGGUACUCACCGAGUACUGCACUGACAUAUAGGGGUUCACCCCCCCUUCUUUCCUUGCAUAAUUCCUUGCCUUCCCAAGGCAAAACCCCAUAACCAACUAUUCCUUCUAUCACUGUGAAGGCCCUAUCCUUCACCAACUCCAUCACCCCCUCUUACCAGUACGGGUCAUUAUCGCCAGUAUCCACUGGGCAUUUCUUUCUACUAUGGUUUGGUGCAGAGCACCCCAUGAUCAACUAACUGAAUUCCAACAUGCGCUGCAUGCUCGCACUACCACUGCCUGACAAUUCUGUUGUUCCUUUUAUGACUUCAGGAUGAACUGAGACCACCCUGGUCCCUACCAACCUAUCAAUGACUGGAUUACCGGCUCCCACCGGUAGCCNCCAGCGACUUCCAAAGAACUUCGAUCACCUAUAAUUGCUCAAUCUACUCUGCCAUUCAGGCACUACAAACCUGGGAUUCUCGAUCCCCUAACUUGACACUAAGGUCCCUACCAGGUCCCACCUGUGCUGUUAAAACUCACGGGCCUCGCCCACGGGUCCCACCCAACCAUACUACUAAACAACCCUGCUCUCAGGUCUCACCUACACUGCUAGUCUCAUACGGGCCUCGCCCACGGGUCUCACCCAACUAUAUCCUGGAGCGGCCUCUCCCAAGGUCUCACCUCUCUAGGGCUAUACAGGCAAACUCCCUAUCAUUCUCAUCCACUACCCAUCCCUGAUCCCUAUCAGAUCACUAGGAGAUAAGGGCCUCGCCCCAACUCCGCUAACGAAGCUACUAAGGAAUGCUACGACUUACCCGUAGUCUUACAUCACCAUCCAUUGCUAACUGCUAGUGAAUGCUACGGCUGCCCCGUAGUCUUACAACACUUCCACUACUGACUGCUAGAACAAAGGCACCCACGUGUCAUAAGCUCUCUAGAUCCUCAUUCCAACUCCCUCGAGUCCUUCGGGCGACCACAACCCGAAUUCCCAAUUACACACUAACCAUUUCCAUCACACGCACUAACUGAUGGGGAGUUUCUCAAACUCCCAACCCGGAAUUCUCAAUCCAUCAAACACUGAACUACUUCUUUUCCUUCUCGGAGGUCACAUACUCACUCUAGGUCUGCGUGCUCCUACCUGGGCACACUCGGAGGGUUCUCCCCCACUUCGAUCCCGCUUACCCCUUGAUGCUCAAUACUCAAAAGAGAUCCCGAUCUUUGCUACGAUUCCAUAACCCAUCUACUGAGGAACCCAAGCCCGCCAUAGCUAGGGAUUUAGCCAAUCCAUCACAAUCACUGCACCACUCCGAACUAGCGAGACGUACCAAAUCUCUCCCAAGCAUGCUACAGUUACUGCAUCCUUCGAAACCUUCUUCAAUAGAGCACAUCCCCUAACUACCAUACAAAUAUCCAAGGUAUGCAGAUGGCAUAUAACUCGAUCACAAUCAACCAAUCAAAAUAAAAUACUUUUACCGAUAAUGAUGCAGAACCAUAACAAUGAAAUCAUGCACAAAUAAAAGAACUGAAAAUGGGAAAUUGCAUACCUGCAACGUCCGGCGUUGCUCGCGUCUCCAAGGUCGUCAUCUGAAAAGCCCUGCUCCCUGCCGCAGGUGCCUCUACCCGGCCCUGACGGCCAUCUGUGAUCCUCAAAGUUGCAGGGGCGGGUGCCAUCACCCGUCCUGCUGAAGACAAACUGGGGCACUGGGCCUUCUUGUGGCCCCGCUGGUUGCAAUGAAAACAUAUCAUGUCUGAUCCCUGCGCGGCGGUAACAGUACAAUCCCUGCUGAAAUGACCAGUCCGACCGCACUUGAAGCAGCCAGACUCACCACCGCUACCACUCCUGCACGCGCCCCCGUGCGCCCUGCCACACUUUCCGCACCGACUGCGGUCCUGAUGAUCCCUCGAUCUCGAAUCCGAUCCCUUGGGCCUUUUGCCCGAACCCGCAACUACCUGAACCUCAUCCGGCUUCCUCUUCCGGAUUUGCUCCAAAUCAAUUUCCCUUUCUCUAGCCCGAGAAAUCAUAUCUUCCAGCGUCUUACAAUUGGAUCUGCUCACGAACUCCCUGAUGUCAUCCCUCAACAUCUCAUGGUACCGAGCCUUCUUCAUCUCCUCAUCCGCGACAUACUGCGGUACAAGAAGAGCCCUCUCCCUGAACUUGGCGGUGAUCUCCGCCACAGUCUCAGUAGUCUGCGUCAAAUCCUGAAACUCUCGUGCCAGCUGCUGCACCUCAAUAAUUGGCGAAAACUCCGCCCUGAACCUGGCCGAGAAAUCGCUCCAAGUCAUCGCGUCCAACGUGGCAUCAUCCCCCAGAGCAUGACCAAUCUCCUCCCACCAGUCCCUCGCUUUGUCCUUCAGAAGACAGGAGGCGAGUCUAACCUUGUUCCCCUCGGGACACUUUCUCAUAUGAAAAGCGUUGGCAACAUCAGCCAACCAUCUGCUGCUAGCAAUGGGGUUCCUAGCCCCAUGAUAAUCUGGCACCCCGCAGGCCCUAAACUCUCGAAAUGUCAAGGUACGCGCUCCCAGCAAAGCCAUCAUCUCGGUAUGGAAGGCUCCCAGCCUCUCAUCCAAAAUCUCCAGUAUGCCCUCCUUGACCGUGCCAAAGAUCACAGGAGUCUGAUCUAGCAUACUGCGCACAAGCUCGGCAGAUAUCAACUCUCUCAUUCGCUCCUCGAGCUGCUCGGCCCCUAAACCCGCGCCUGAUCCCUCUCCGGCGCCUGAUCCGCCCGCUGGUCUCUCUCGCAACGUCACCAUGCUAAAACAUAUAACACAACCACUAUCAGAAAACUCAUCACUGCUGCGAGACCAAACACACCCCCUACUAGGUCCCCGGUCUUGUCUUGGCCCUUCCCGAAUCAAGUACGGAUCCUCUGCUUUCAGUAGUACGGGCCCAUACUACCUUCCACAUCUAUCCGUACUUUCCUCAGGAAUUGCUUUGACUCCACCAGGUCCCUUAUCCACUACUACUGCUCCCAGCACUAUCUCAUCCUAGGCUUACCCUAGGGAAACCUCUGACUCAACUCAAACCAGUCCUCAGCUGCUGAAGGUCUCCUUGUGAUGCCAAUUAGCCAUCACCUGGAUACCAUCACAUGUGACGAGGCUCAGAUAAUCCUUCAAGUAAAAGACUCGUCCCUACAACGGUUGGACUCAAACAAGAGCUGCGCAAUAGGGCCAAAUCCAGCACUCUGAGAUUAUUCAACCCUGAUCACAUGUGACGUGACGUAUCCACCUAAUGGCUAACUCCCAUCACUCAAAAUCCCACAAUGCACAAAGCAAGCAGCAUUCGGACAAGGGGAAAAUCUAACCACAACAUACUCAAGCAAUCAUAUCCAAAUAGCAAGAAUCUGAACUAGCAUGCAACACAAACUCAUAAACUCAGGCAUAACCUAAACAGGCUAUCCUACUACUGUCUAAUCAGCACUAUCAUGCAGCUCAAACACAUAUAAUAGGCACAUAAGGCAUCAUUCCUAGAUCCUUAGUCCUAAUCUAGCAUACUGUUCUAUCAACUGAUAAUCAUAACAUAAACUUGUAUGGGUAUUUUGGGGUACUUACUUGAGCUCGGUUGAUUGCAUGCACCACACCCUUUUUCUCUUUUCAAAGUUCUUUUCUUUCUGAAUUAUUUUUGCCUUUCUAAAACUGUUUUCUUUCCCAAAACUCUCUUUUUACAAAACUGUCUUUUCAUUUUGAAAACUUCUAUACCAAUCCCUCAGUUUGAGUUCAGACACGCUCGAGAGCAUGUCCGAAUCCCUCAAACCAAGGCUCUGAUACCAACUUGUAACGUCCCAAAAUUCAAGACUAAAAAUUUCUUUUAAUAAAACAUUACUUUAAGCAAAUUCAUCAUUUCAAAACAUAAACAGAGUAUUAGUUUCCAAAAUACAUGUUCGUUAUCAGAGUAAACAUUCCCAGGCUGUCUAAACUAUGGUGUGUGCCAUGCGAUCACCCCGAGCUCUUCCCUCCGCUACCGGAAGUACCUGAAACCAAAACUGAAAACCGUAAGCACGAAGCUUAGUGAGUUCCCCACCCUACCACAUACCAUGCAUAACCACAUACUGCACAUACUGGGCCACGCCCGCUAUCCUGGGCCUCGCCCCCUACUUCGGGCCUCGCCCGCUACAAUGGCCCCGCCGCUCCAGGCCCCGCCUGGCUUCGAGCCCCGCUCGGAUACAGAUCUGUUUCACUUAGGCCUCGCCUGUCACAGGGCCUCGCCCACUAACAUAUAAUAGCACAUAAACAUAUCACAUCACAUCACAUAAGCUAAACACAUACUAACGGAUCUUGUCCUAAGGCCUCGCCUAUCUCUGGGCCCCGCCCCUGACCUGCUACUGAUGAGUCACGAAACCCCAUCCAUGCUCCUACUGGUAGUGAGAUAUGGGCCCAGCCCACGCUCACUCCCUUCCUGACUGGGGCCUCGCCCCUGCUCUGCUGCUACUGAGAUGUGGAACACCAUCCACACUCUGCUAUUGGUGAGAUACGGGACCUCGCCCACACUCACCUCCCUACCAGGCAC